This 253-nucleotide ribosomal RNA is filed under the name uncultured bacterium. RNAcentral describes it as "partial 16S ribosomal RNA". It matches the Rfam family "Bacterial small subunit ribosomal RNA", at positions 524 to 776 of the family's 1533-position model. The record is from RNAcentral.
UACGAAGGGGGCAAGCGUUACUCGGAUUUACUGGGCGUAAAGGGUGCGUAGGUGGUUUGUUAAGUCUGCUGUGAAAUCCCCGGGCUCAACCUGGGAAUGGCAGUGGAUACUGGCGAGCUAGAGUGCGGUAGAGGGUAGUGGAAUUCCCGGUGUAGCAGUGAAAUGCGUAGAGAUCGGGAGGAACACCAGUGGCGAAGGCGGAUACCUGGACCAGCACUGACACUGAAGCACGAAAGCGUGGGGAGCAAACAGG